This 488-nucleotide ribosomal RNA is filed under the name uncultured bacterium. RNAcentral's name for it is "bacterial SSU rRNA". It matches the Rfam family "Bacterial small subunit ribosomal RNA", at positions 30 to 507 of the family's 1533-position model. The record is from RNAcentral.
AUUGAACGCUGGCGGCAUGCUUUACACAUGCAAGUCGAACGGCAGCACAGGGAGCUUGCUCCCGGGUGGCGAGUGGCGCACGGGUGAGUAAUACAUCGGAACGUGUCCUGUUGUGGGGGAUAACUGCUCGAAAGGGUGGCUAAUACCGCAUGAGACCUGAGGGUGAAAGCGGGGGAUCGCAAGACCUCGCGCAAUUGGAGCGGCCGAUGCCCGAUUAGCUAGUUGGUGGGGUAAAGGCUCACCAAGGCGACGAUCGGUAGCUGGUCUGAGAGGACGACCAGCCACACUGGGACUGAGACACGGCCCAGACUCCUACGGGAGGCAGCAGUGGGGAAUUUUGGACAAUGGGGGCAACCCUGAUCCAGCCAUGCCGCGUGCAGGAUGAAGGCCUUCGGGUUGUAAACUGCUUUUGUCAGGGACGAAAAGGACCGUGUUAAUACCAUGGUCUGCUGACGGUACCUGAAGAAUAAGCACCGGCUAACUACGUG